UAGUGGCGAACGGGUGAGUAAUACGUGAGUAACCUGCCCUUGACUCUGGGAUAAGCCUGGGAAACUGGGUCUAAUACUGGAUACUACCNNNNACCGCAUGGUGGGUGGUGGAAAGGGUUUUACUGGUUUUGGAUGGGCUCACGGCCUAUCAGCUUGUUGGUGGGGUAAUGGCUCACCAAGGCGACGACGGGUAGCCGGCCUGAGAGGGUGACCGGCCACACUGGGACUGAGACACGGCCCAGACUCCUACGGGAGGCAGCAGUGGGGAAUAUUGCACAAUGGGCGGAAGCCUGAUGCAGCGACGCCGCGUGAGGGAUGACGGCCUUCGGGUUGUAAACCUCUUUCAGUAGGGAAGAAGCGAGAGUGACGGUACCUGCAGAAGAAGCGCCGGCUAACUACGUGCCAGCAGCCGCGGUAAUACGUAGGGCGCAAGCGUUGUCCGGAAUUAUUGGGCGUAAAGAGCUCGUAGGCGGUUUGUCGCGUCUGCUGUGAAAGCCCGGGGCUCAACCCCGGGUCUGCAGUGGGUACGGGCAGACUAGAGUGCAGUAGGGGAGACUGGAAUUCCUGGUGUAGCGGUGAAAUGCGCAGAUAUCAGGAGGAACACCGAUGGCGAAGGCAGGUCUCUGGGCUGUUACUGACGCUGAGGAGCGAAAGCAUGGGGAGCGAACAGGAUUAGAUACCCUGGUAGUCCAUGCCGUAAACGUUGGGCACUAGGUGUGGGGGACAUUCCACGUUUUCCGCGCCGUANCUAACGCAUUAAGUGCCCCGCCUGGGGAGUACGGCCGCAAGGGUAAAACUCAAAGGAAUUGACGGGGGCCC
Molecule: ribosomal RNA, 819 nt
Filed under: bacterium R.22
Lineage: Bacteria
Description: bacterial SSU rRNA
Rfam family: Bacterial small subunit ribosomal RNA
Source: RNAcentral